UGGCACUCCAGAUGUUUUGGACUACACCCCCAUGAUGCUUUAUCAGCAUUAUGGGGGAUGUAGUCUACAACAUCUGGGUUGCCG
Molecule: microRNA precursor, 84 nt
Filed under: Pelobates cultripes (western spadefoot toad)
Lineage: Eukaryota; Metazoa; Chordata; Amphibia; Anura; Pelobatidae
Source: RNAcentral